This 1540-nucleotide ribosomal RNA is filed under the name Enterobacter asburiae. RNAcentral's name for it is "bacterial SSU rRNA". It matches the Rfam family "Bacterial small subunit ribosomal RNA". Lineage: Bacteria; Pseudomonadati; Pseudomonadota; Gammaproteobacteria; Enterobacterales; Enterobacteriaceae. The record is from RNAcentral.
AAAUUGAAGAGUUUGAUCAUGGCUCAGAUUGAACGCUGGCGGCAGGCCUAACACAUGCAAGUCGAGCGGUAGCACAGAGAGCUUGCUCUCGGGUGACGAGCGGCGGACGGGUGAGUAAUGUCUGGGAAACUGCCUGAUGGAGGGGGAUAACUACUGGAAACGGUAGCUAAUACCGCAUAACGUCGCAAGACCAAAGAGGGGGACCUUCGGGCCUCUUGCCAUCAGAUGUGCCCAGAUGGGAUUAGCUAGUAGGUGGGGUAACGGCUCACCUAGGCGACGAUCCCUAGCUGGUCUGAGAGGAUGACCAGCCACACUGGAACUGAGACACGGUCCAGACUCCUACGGGAGGCAGCAGUGGGGAAUAUUGCACAAUGGGCGCAAGCCUGAUGCAGCCAUGCCGCGUGUAUGAAGAAGGCCUUCGGGUUGUAAAGUACUUUCAGCGGGGAGGAAGGUGUUGAGGUUAAUAACCUCAGCAAUUGACGUUACCCGCAGAAGAAGCACCGGCUAACUCCGUGCCAGCAGCCGCGGUAAUACGGAGGGUGCAAGCGUUAAUCGGAAUUACUGGGCGUAAAGCGCACGCAGGCGGUCUGUCAAGUCGGAUGUGAAAUCCCCGGGCUCAACCUGGGAACUGCAUUCGAAACUGGCAGGCUAGAGUCUUGUAGAGGGGGGUAGAAUUCCAGGUGUAGCGGUGAAAUGCGUAGAGAUCUGGAGGAAUACCGGUGGCGAAGGCGGCCCCCUGGACAAAGACUGACGCUCAGGUGCGAAAGCGUGGGGAGCAAACAGGAUUAGAUACCCUGGUAGUCCACGCCGUAAACGAUGUCGACUUGGAGGUUGUGCCCUUGAGGCGUGGCUUCCGGAGCUAACGCGUUAAGUCGACCGCCUGGGGAGUACGGCCGCAAGGUUAAAACUCAAAUGAAUUGACGGGGGCCCGCACAAGCGGUGGAGCAUGUGGUUUAAUUCGAUGCAACGCGAAGAACCUUACCUACUCUUGACAUCCAGAGAACUUAGCAGAGAUGCUUUGGUGCCUUCGGGAACUCUGAGACAGGUGCUGCAUGGCUGUCGUCAGCUCGUGUUGUGAAAUGUUGGGUUAAGUCCCGCAACGAGCGCAACCCUUAUCCUUUGUUGCCAGCGGUCCGGCCGGGAACUCAAAGGAGACUGCCAGUGAUAAACUGGAGGAAGGUGGGGAUGACGUCAAGUCAUCAUGGCCCUUACGAGUAGGGCUACACACGUGCUACAAUGGCGCAUACAAAGAGAAGCGACCUCGCGAGAGCAAGCGGACCUCAUAAAGUGCGUCGUAGUCCGGAUUGGAGUCUGCAACUCGACUCCAUGAAGUCGGAAUCGCUAGUAAUCGUAGAUCAGAAUGCUACGGUGAAUACGUUCCCGGGCCUUGUACACACCGCCCGUCACACCAUGGGAGUGGGUUGCAAAAGAAGUAGGUAGCUUAACCUUCGGGAGGGCGCUUACCACUUUGUGAUUCAUGACUGGGGUGAAGUCGUAACAAGGUAACCGUAGGGGAACCUGCGGUUGGAUCACCUCCUUA